Molecule: ribosomal RNA, 323 nt
Filed under: uncultured eukaryote
Lineage: Eukaryota
Description: partial 18S ribosomal RNA
Rfam family: Eukaryotic small subunit ribosomal RNA
Source: RNAcentral
CCCUUAGAUGUUCUGGGCUGCACGCGUGCUACACUGAUAUUGCCAAUAUGUCAUUCUUAUCCGAAAUGGAUUGGGUAAUCAAGUAAUGAAAUUUCAUGCUUGGAAUCGGUAAUUGCAAUUUUAUCGUGAACGAGGAAUUCCUAGUAAGCACUAGUCAUCAGCUAAUGUUGAUUAUGUCCCUGCCCUUUGUACACACCGCCCGUCGCUACUACUGAUUGGGUGUUCAAGUGAGAUGCUUAGACCCUUGUUGCAUGGUUCAUUAUUGUGCUCCGAAAGGAAAAAGUUUCAAGCUUGAGUGUCUAGAGGGAGUAAAAGUCGUAACA